GAUCCCAUAAUUUAGCACAUGCACACAAAAAGGAAAAGGAAUGAUUUUAUAAAGGAGGUAAGGAUCAUUUUGGAUAUAAAAAUAAAGAGAGGGACCCAAAAUCUUUUCAUCACUUUACACCCUAUAUAUAUAUAUAUAUAUAUAUAUAAUAGAGGACCCAAUACCCUUGAAAAAACCUAGCCGCAAGACACAUUUUUAUAGACAUUAGCAAUACCUAGCCGCAGCAAAAAAAAAAAAAAAAAACCAUCUUUCUCUUCAUCCCUUUAGAAAAUAAUGAGAUAAGCCAUGAGAACACUAUAGUAUUUUCAUAUUUUUCUACGCUCUUUUGGCCAUUCUUCACUUUCUUUCUCCAACAAAACGCAGCACUGAGUUGGUGAUCCCGUUUCGAGGUUCGUUGUAGGUUCUGGUCUUGAGAAGCUCGCCAUUAGAGGGGUGAAUGAGAGGAGACCCCAAAAUGUUGGAAUUGAAAUACUGCGAGCAAGGUGACAAUGCCGAUUAUCGUGCGUCACCAAUGGUACAUAUAAUGACUUGGUUACGAGCGUAAUGGAGAGCGGGGAUUUAAAUUGUGAUCGCAUUAGUUAAAUGAUGUUAGUGCUGAUGGUUUUAGGUUUGUUUUUAAGAAUAAAUGCUGUUGAGAGGUCUCAAGAAGCUUCAACAUCAGAAACACCCCCCCCCCCCCCCCACCACCACCACAACCUCCAGUGGAUGACGAUUCAAUGCAACAUGAGGGCAUGGGGGAUCAUUUAAUGGAUAUGGAUGAUUUUGCUAGUGAUGACGAAGAGUGUGAUGGUGAUGUUGAGCAGCACAGUGGAUCACAAACCGACCACAGCUUCAAUGACGGAACAGAUUUUUAUCAUGGCCAAACAUUUGAUUAUGAUGGAUAUAAAUUAUUCAUGUAAUUUUGUAUAUAAAAAAUAAGAUUUAUAAAUAAAACAUGAAUAAUACUAUCAUAUUCCCGCAUAUCUUCUAACAAAUCUUGCAGGAAAAAGAAUACAAGAGAAAUAAAGGAAAGGAACAAAUUGCCAAAGAAAAGAGAACCACUUAUGCAUCUAUAACUCCGUAGACACAUCCGUGAAAAGUUACAAUGGCAUCUAUGGCAUCCACAGACGUGUCUGUCACCAUAAUGGCAUCUAUGGCAUCCACAGACGCGUCCGUCACCACAGUGGCAUCUAUGGCAUCCACAGACGCGUCCGUCACUACAGUCGCAUCUAUGGCAUCCAUAGACGCGUCCGUCACCACAGUCGCAUCUAUGGCAUCCACAGAAGCGUCUGUCACCACAGUCGCAUCUAUGGCAUCCACAGACGCAUCCGUCACCACAGUCGCAUCUAUGGCAUCCACAUACGCAUCCGUCACCACAGUCGCAUCUAUGGCAUCCACAGAUGCGUCUAUGGAGAAAAUGUCAGGCAUCCAUUUCUAUAAGUAGCAAGCUACUCUGAAGACAAAGGGCAUCCAAUUUUUAGCAAGAUACAAGAAAUAGUCUUUACUCUAUUUCUCUUCUUUUUAUUUUAUAUUUGUAGUAGUAGUAUUUUAUUUUUGAUUUCUUUCUUACAUACUCCUUAAUGGAGUAGUUUCUUUUUGUUGGGAUAGUUGAAGAAGCUUGGUAUGGCGUUAUAAUAUUGUCUUUACUUUAAUUUC
This is a long non-coding RNA of Lycium barbarum (goji berry), 1635 nucleotides long. RefSeq lists it as uncharacterized. Lineage: Eukaryota; Viridiplantae; Streptophyta; Magnoliopsida; Solanales; Solanaceae. The record is from RefSeq and is a predicted model, not a curated record. The transcript has 2 exons.